GUGGGGAAUAUUGGACAAUGGGCGAAAGCCUGAUCCAGCCAUGCCGCGUGUGUGAAGAAGGUCUUCGGAUUGUAAAGCACUUUAAGUUGGGAGGAAGGGCAGUAAGCUAAUACCUUGCUGUUUUGACGGUACCGACAGAAUAAGCACCGGCUAACUUUGUGCCAGCAGCCGCGGUAAUACGAAGGGUGCAAGCGUUAAUCGGAAUUACUGGGCGUAAAGCGCGCGUCGGUGGUUCAGCAAGUUGGAGGUGAAAUCCCCGGGCUCAACCUGGGAACUGCCUGCAAAACUGCAUGACUAGAGUGCGGUAGAGGGUAGGGGAAUUUCCUGUGUAGCGGUAAAAUGCGUAGAUAUAGGAAGGAACACCAGGGGCGAACGCGACUACCUGGACUGAUACUGACACUGAGGUGCGAAAGCGUGGGGAGCAAACAGGAUUAGAUACCCCAGUAGUCC
This 450-nucleotide ribosomal RNA is filed under the name uncultured bacterium. RNAcentral describes it as "partial 16S ribosomal RNA". It matches the Rfam family "Bacterial small subunit ribosomal RNA", at positions 354 to 796 of the family's 1533-position model. The record is from RNAcentral.